This 762-nucleotide ribosomal RNA is filed under the name Triticum aestivum (bread wheat). Its description in RNAcentral is "partial small subunit ribosomal RNA". The record is from RNAcentral. Lineage: Eukaryota; Viridiplantae; Streptophyta; Magnoliopsida; Poales; Poaceae.
UAUAACAGAAAAGUUGACAUUAAUUUCGAGCUGCAUGAGAUUUUGGCGAAUGAGGAAAUCUUCUGGCUCCAACAGUCUCAUGAGCGCUGGCUACUCAAAGGGGACCUUAACACUGAUUACUUUCACAAGAUAGCCAGUGGGCGAAAAAGGAAAAACACUAUUCACACAUUGAAAUGUGGAGAUGUGGAGAUUGAGGGCACUGAUAACCUAAUCUCACAUGCCACGGAGUUCUAUAAGAAUUUGUUUGGUCCAGCACCUGGUAACAUAUUUCACAUGGACCCUAGUUCAUGGGAUGAUUCAAAAAAACUUACGCGAGAAGACAAUGAAGAUCUGACUAGGGAGUUUUCUAUGGAGGAGGUGAAGGAGGCUCUGUUUGCAAUGGAUACCAAUAGAGCACCCGGCCCUGAUAAUAUCCCUGCAGAGUUCUACCAACAUUGUUGGGAUAUUGUCAAAGAUGACAUUAUGAGGAUUUUUAGGCACUUCCAUGAUGGGACGCUUGAUGUGCAGCGUCUCAACUACGGAGUGAUCACUCUCCUUCCUAAGGUGUCGGGCGCCGAGCGCAUUCAACAAUUCCGACCCAUUUGCCUUCUCAGAUGUCCGUAUAAACUGAUUACUAAGACAAUGGAUCGGAGAGUUGAGAAGUAUGUUGAUAAGCUGAUUAGCCUUUCGCAGAAUGCAUUUGUGAAGGGUAGGAAUAUUAUGGAUGGAAUCAUGACUCUUCAUGAGCUCCUGAACAACACUUAUGUUAAGAAAAAGAACUAG